GUAAAAGUCGUAACAAGGUUUCCGUAGGUGAACCUGCGGAAGGAUCAUUACCGAGUGCGGGUUCUAACGAGCCCAACCUCCCACCCGUGUUUACUGUUACCGCGUUGCUUCGGCGGGCCCACUGGGGCCUGGCCCCGGUCGCCGGGGGGCUUCUGCCCCCGGGUCCGCGCCCGCCGAAGCGCCCUGGAACCCUGUCUGAAUAGUGAGUCUGAGUGGAUAUUGAAUCAUUAAAACUUUCAACAACGGAUCUCUUGGUUCCGGCAUCGAUGAAGAACGCAGCGAAAUGCGAUAAGUAAUGUGAAUUGCAGAAUUCCGUGAAUCAUCGAAUCUUUGAACGCACAUUGCGCCCCCUGGCAUUCCGGGGGGCAUGCCUGUCCGAGCGUCAUUUCUGCCCUCCAGCACGGCUGGGUGUUGGGUGCUGUCCCCCCGGGGACACGCCCCAAAAGCAGUGGCGGCGCCGCGUCGGGUCCUCGAGCGUAUGGGGCUCUGUCACCCGCUCGGGAGGGACUCGGUCGGCGCUGGUCUUCCUCCAGGCGACCCUUCGGGGCUCGUCUCCUCCGGUUGACCUCGGAUCAGGUAGGGCUACCCGCUGAACUUAAGCAUAUCAAUAAGCGGAGGAAAAGAAACCAACAGGGAUUGCCUCAGUAACGGCGAGUGAAGCGGCAAGAGCUCAAAUUUGAAAUCUGGCUCCUUCGGGGCCCGAGUUGUAAUUUGGAGAGGAUGCUUCGGGCGUGGCCCCUAUCUAAGUGCCCUGGAACGGGCCGUCAUAGAGGGUGAGAAUCCCGUCUGGGAUGGGUGGUCCCGCCCGUGUGAAGCUCCUUCGAAGAGUCGAGUUGUUUGGGAAUGCAGCUCUAAGAGGGUGGUAAAUUUCAUCUAAAGCUAAAUAUUGGCCGGAGACCGAUAGCGCACAAGUAGAGUGAUCGAAAGAUGAAAAGCACUUUGAAAAGAGAGUUAAACAGCACGUGAAAUUGUUGAAAGGGAAGCAUUGGCAACCAGACUUGUUUGGGGGGGCUCAGCCGGCACCUGUGCCGGUGCACUCCCCCCCGGCAGGCCAGCGUCGGUUUGGGCGGUCGGUCAAAGGCCCCGGGAAUGUAGCACCCUCCGGGGUGCCUUAUAGCCCAGGGUGCCAUGCGACCUGCCCGGACCGAGGAACCCCCUUCAGCUCCGAC
Molecule: non-coding RNA, 1169 nt
Filed under: Talaromyces subaurantiacus
Lineage: Eukaryota; Fungi; Ascomycota; Eurotiomycetes; Eurotiales; Trichocomaceae
Description: sequence contains ITS1, 5.8S rRNA gene, ITS2, 28S rRNA gene
Rfam family: Eukaryotic large subunit ribosomal RNA (bases 563-1169)
Source: RNAcentral